This 392-nucleotide ribosomal RNA is filed under the name uncultured bacterium. RNAcentral's name for it is "partial 16S ribosomal RNA". It matches the Rfam family "Bacterial small subunit ribosomal RNA", at positions 523 to 918 of the family's 1533-position model. The record is from RNAcentral.
ACACGUAGGGGCCUGACGUUGUUCGGAAUCAUUGGGCGUAAAGGGCGCGCAGGCGGCCGUCCAAGUCCGGUGUUAAAUGGUCGGGCUCAACCCGAUCAUGCGCUGGAAACUGGGCGGCUUGAGUCCCGUAGGGGAUGCCGGAAUUCCAGGUGUAGGGGUGAAAUCUGUAGAUAUCUGGAAGAACACCGAUGGCGAAGGCAGGCAUCUGGCCGGAGACUGACGCUGAGGCGCGAAGGCGCGGGGAGCGAACAGGUUUAGAUACCCUGGUAGUCCGCGCAGUAAACGAGGCGCACCAGGUGUCGGGCGGCAGCGCCCGGUACCGGAGCUAACGCGAUGAGUGCGCCGCCUGGGGAGUAUGCCCGCAAGGGUGAAACUCAAAGGAAUUGACGGGG